UGAACGCUGGCGGCGUGCCUAAUACAUGCAAGUCGAGCGAACAGACGAGGAGCUUGCUCCUCUGACGUUAGCGGCGGACGGGUGAGUAACACGUGGAUAACCUACCUAUAAGACUGGGAUAACUUCGGGAAACCGGAGCUAAUACCGGAUAAUAUAUUGAACCGCAUGGUUCAAUAGUGAAAGACGGUUUUGCUGUCACUUAUAGAUGGAUCCGCGCCGCAUUAGCUAGUUGGUAAGGUAACGGCUUACCAAGGCAACGAUGCGUAGCCGACCUGAGAGGGUGAUCGGCCACACUAGAACUGAGACACGGUCCAGACUCCUACGGGAGGCAGCAGUAGGGAAUCUUCCGCAAUGGGCGAAAGCCUGACGGAGCAACGCCGCGUGAGUGAUGAAGGUCUUCGGAUCGUAAAACUCUGUUAUUAGGGAAGAACAAAUGUGUAAGUAACUAUGCACGUCUUGACGGUACCUAAUCAGAAAGCCACGGCUAACUACGUG
This 495-nucleotide ribosomal RNA is filed under the name uncultured bacterium. RNAcentral's name for it is "partial 16S ribosomal RNA". It matches the Rfam family "Bacterial small subunit ribosomal RNA", at positions 30 to 507 of the family's 1533-position model. The record is from RNAcentral.